AAAUUGAAGAGUUUGAUCAUGGCUCAGAUUGAACGCUGGCGGCAGGCCUAACACAUGCAAGUCGAGCGGAAACGAGUUAUCUGAACCUUCGGGGAACGAUAACGGCGUCGAGCGGCGGACGGGUGAGUAAUGCCUAGGAAAUUGCCCUGAUGUGGGGGAUAACCAUUGGAAACGAUGGCUAAUACCGCAUGAUGCCUACGGGCCAAAGAGGGGGACCUUCGGGCCUCUCGCGUCAGGAUAUGCCUAGGUGGGAUUAGCUAGUUGGUGAGGUAAGGGCUCACCAAGGCGACGAUCCCUAGCUGGUCUGAGAGGAUGAUCAGCCACACUGGAACUGAGACACGGU
Molecule: ribosomal RNA, 343 nt
Filed under: Vibrio alginolyticus
Lineage: Bacteria; Pseudomonadati; Pseudomonadota; Gammaproteobacteria; Vibrionales; Vibrionaceae
Description: bacterial SSU rRNA
Rfam family: Bacterial small subunit ribosomal RNA
Source: RNAcentral